RNAcentral lists this ribosomal RNA (1522 nucleotides) under Shigella dysenteriae. Its description in RNAcentral is "bacterial SSU rRNA". It matches the Rfam family "Bacterial small subunit ribosomal RNA". The record is from RNAcentral. Lineage: Bacteria; Pseudomonadati; Pseudomonadota; Gammaproteobacteria; Enterobacterales; Enterobacteriaceae.
AGAGUUUGAUCAUGGCUCAGAUUGAACGCUGGCGGCAGGCCUAACACAUGCAAGUCGAACGGUAACAGGAAGCAGCUUGCUGCUUCGCUGACGAGUGGCGGACGGGUGAGUAAUGUCUGGGAAACUGCCUGAUGGAGGGGGAUAACUACUGGAAACGGUAGCUAAUACCGCAUAAUGUCGCAAGACCAAAGAGGGGGACCUUCGGGCCUCUUACCAUCGGAUGUGCCCAGAUGGGAUUAGCUUGUUGGUGGGGUAACGGCUCACCAAGGCGACGAUCCCUAGCUGGUCUGAGAGGAUGACCAGCCACACUGGAACUGAGACACGGUCCAGACUCCUACGGGAGGCAGCAGUGGGGAAUAUUGCACAAUGGGCGCAAGCCUGAUGCAGCCAUGCCGCGUGUAUGAAGAAGGCCUUCGGGUUGUAAAGUACUUUCAGCGGGGAGGAAGGGAGUAAAGUUAAUACCUUUGCUCAUUGACGUUAUCCGCAGAAGAAGCACCGGCUAACUCCGUGCCAGCAGCCGCGGUAAUACGGAGGGUGCAAGCGUUAAUCGGAAUUACUGGGCGUAAAGCGCACGCAGGCGGUUUGUUAAGUCAGAUGUGAAAUCCCCGGGCUCAACCUGGGAACUGCAUCUGAUACUGGCAAGCUUGAGUCUCGUAGAGGGGGGUAGAAUUCCAGGUGUAGCGGUGAAAUGCGUAGAGAUCUGGAGGAAUACCGGUGGCGAAGGCGGCCCCCUGGACGAAGACUGACGCUCAGGUGCGAAAGCGUGGGGAGCAAACAGGAUUAGAUACCCUGGUAGUCCACGCCGUAAACGAUGUCGACUUGGAGGUUGUGCCCUUGAGGCGUGGCUUCCGGAGCUAACGCGUUAAGUCGACCGCCUGGGGAGUACUGCCGCAAGGUUAAAACUCAAAUGAAUUGACGGGGGCCCGCACAAGCGGUGGAGCAUGUGGUUUAAUUCGAUGCAACGCGAAGAACCUUACCUGGUCUUGACAUCCACGGAAGUUUUCAGAGAUGAGAAUGUGCCUUCGGGAACCGUGAGACAGGUGCUGCAUGGCUGUCGUCAGCUCGUGUUGUGAAAUGUUGGGUUAAGUCCCGCAACGAGCGCAACCCUUAUCCUUUGUUGCCAGCGGUCCGGCCGGGAACUCAAAGGAGACUGCCAGUGAUAAACUGGAGGAAGGUGGGGAUGACGUCAAGUCAUCAUGGCCCUUACGACCAGGGCUACACACGUGCUACAAUGGCGCAUACAAAGAGAAGCGACCUCGCGAGAGCAAGCGGACCUCAUAAAGUGCGUCGUAGUCCGGAUUGGAGUCUGCAACUCGACUCCAUGAAGUCGGAAUCGCUAGUAAUCGUGGAUCAGAAUGCCACGGUGAAUACGUUCCCGGGCCUUGUACACACCGCCCGUCACACCAUGGGAGUGGGUUGCAAAAGAAGUAGGUAGCUUAACCUUCGGGAGGGCGCUUACCACUUUGUGAUUCAUGACUGGGGUGAAGUCGUAACAAGGUAACCGUAGGGGAACCUGCGGUUG